This 23-nucleotide transfer RNA is filed under the name Ipomoea batatas (sweet potato). Its description in RNAcentral is "partial tRNA-Leu". RNAcentral also lists the same sequence under 101 other names. The record is from RNAcentral. Lineage: Eukaryota; Viridiplantae; Streptophyta; Magnoliopsida; Solanales; Convolvulaceae.
UUCAAGUCCCUCUAUCCCCAAAA